GGUCCUGUGGCCUAAUGGAUAAGGCGUCUGACUUCGAAUCAGAAGAUUGCAGGUUCUAGUCCUGCCAGGAUCG
RNAcentral lists this transfer RNA (73 nucleotides) under Dreissena polymorpha. RNAcentral's name for it is "transfer RNA arginine (anticodon UCG)". It matches the Rfam family "tRNA". Rfam says of the family: Transfer RNA (tRNA) molecules are approximately 80 nucleotides in length. Lineage: Eukaryota; Metazoa; Mollusca; Bivalvia; Myida; Dreissenidae. The record is from Rfam by way of RNAcentral.